This 282-nucleotide unclassified non-coding RNA is filed under the name Hevea brasiliensis (rubber tree). Lineage: Eukaryota; Viridiplantae; Streptophyta; Magnoliopsida; Malpighiales; Euphorbiaceae. The record is from RNAcentral.
UGUUUUUUCAUUUUUUUAUUUUUUAUUUAUAUGAUAGCUUCAUUAAUUGGUUCCUUUUGGCUUUCAUCCAUCUACUGUAGUUCCCUAGACAUUUACCAAUUAUCCACCUGUGUAGUUGCUGAUAUUGGGAUCCCAACUUUGUGGUUUGAUCCCUACAGUGAAAUAUAUGGUAUUGCUGCUUUAGCUGCUUUGCCUGAAGGAAAAUUAAAAAUCCUCUUCUGUUUUAUAUUUCUUUUAAAUUUUUUAUUAGUUGGCUAUACAGCAAAUGACAUUUAAUGACUA